This 1337-nucleotide ribosomal RNA is filed under the name uncultured bacterium. Its description in RNAcentral is "bacterial SSU rRNA". It matches the Rfam family "Bacterial small subunit ribosomal RNA", at positions 28 to 1387 of the family's 1533-position model. The record is from RNAcentral.
GAGGAACUUUGGCGGCGCGCCUAACACAUGCAAGUCGAACGAGAGAGAGGGAGCUUGCUUCCUCAAUCGAGUGGCGAACGGGUGAGUAACGCGUGAGGAACCUGCCUCGAGAGGGGGACAACUGUUGGAAACGACUGCUAAUACCGCAUAACCCCACGGCUCGGCAUCGAGCAGAGGGAAAAGGAGCAAUCCGCUUUGAGAUGGCCUCCCGUCCUAUUAUCUAGUUGGUGAGGUAACGGCCCACCAAGGCGACUAUCGGUAGCCGGACUGAGAGGUUGAACGGCCACAUUGGGACUGAGACACGGCCCAGACUCCUACGGGAGGCAGCAGUGGGGAAUAUUGCACAAUGGGGGAAACCCUGAUGCAGCGACGCCGCGUGGAGGAAGAAGGUCUUCGGAUUGUAAACUCCUGUUGUUGAGGAAGAUAAUGACGGUACUCAACAAGGAAGUGACGGCUAACUACGUGCCAGCAGCCGCGGUAAAACGUAGGUCACAAGCGUUGUCCGGAAUUACUGGGUGUAAAGGGAGCGCAGGCGGGAGAACAAGUUGGAAGUGAAAUCCAUGGGCUCAACCCAUGAACUGCUUUCAAAACUGUUUUUCUUGAGUAGUGCAGAGGUAGGCGGAAUUCCCGGUGUAGCGGUGGAAUGCGUAGAUAUCGGGAGGAACACCAGUGGCGAAGGCGGCCUACUGGGCACCAACUGACGCUGAGGCUCGAAAGUGUGGGUAGCAAACAGGAUUAGAUACCCUGGUAGUCCACACCGUAAACGAUGAUUAUUAGGUGUGGGGGAUUGAACCCCUUCAGUCCGCCAGUUAACACAAUAAGUAAUCCCCCGGGGGAGUACGACCGCAAGGUUGAAACUCAAAGGAAUUGACGGGGGCCCGCACAAGCAGUGGAGUAUGUGGUUUAAUUCGACGCAACGCGAAGAACCUUACCAAGUCUUGACAUCCCUUGACGAACAUAGAAAUAUGUUUUCUCUUCGGAGCAAGGAGACAGGUGGUGCAUGGUUGUCGUCAGCUCGUGUCGUGAGAUGUUGGGUUAAGUCCCGCAACGAGCGCAACCCUUAUGGUCAGUUACUACGCAAGAGGACUCUGGCCAGACUGCCGUUGACAAAACGGAGGAAGGUGGGGAUGACGUCAAAUCAUCAUGCCCUUUAUGACUUGGGCUACACACGUACUACAAUGGCGUUAAACAAAGAGAAGCAAGACCGCGAGGUGGAGCAAAACUCAGAAACAACGUCCCAGUUCGGACUGCAGGCUGCAACUCGCCUGCACGAAGUCGGAAUUGCUAGUAAUCGUGGAUCAGCAUGCCACGGUGAAUACGUUCCCGGGCCUUGCACA